RNAcentral lists this non-coding RNA (129 nucleotides) under Foraminifera environmental sample. The record is from RNAcentral. Lineage: Eukaryota; Foraminifera.
UUUUUUUGUGAUGUUUUGUUGUUCGUCUGUUUGGCGAAUCACUGUUAUAAUUUGGACGAAUGGGAAAAUAAAGAAAGCGUGCAGUCAUCGAACAGAAAAGAAAAAAAUGGCAAUCGUUUCCCGUUUGUU